UCCCGUGUGGCUCAGUUGGUAGAGCAUGGUGUUUGCAACACCAGGGUUGUGGGUUUGAUUCCCACUGGGGAC
RNAcentral lists this transfer RNA (72 nucleotides) under Salmo salar (Atlantic salmon). It matches the Rfam family "tRNA". From Rfam's summary of the family: Transfer RNA (tRNA) molecules are approximately 80 nucleotides in length. Their secondary structure includes four short double-helical elements and three loops (D, anti-codon, and T loops). The record is from Rfam by way of RNAcentral. Lineage: Eukaryota; Metazoa; Chordata; Actinopteri; Salmoniformes; Salmonidae.